This is a long non-coding RNA of Vigna radiata var. radiata (mung bean), 341 nucleotides long. RefSeq lists it as uncharacterized. NCBI's taxonomy places the organism in Eukaryota, Viridiplantae, Streptophyta, Magnoliopsida, Fabales, Fabaceae. The record is from RefSeq and is a predicted model, not a curated record. The transcript is spliced from 3 exons.
AGAUACACAGAUACAAGAUGAAACUGCUACUUUUCCUGAAGAACGCUGGUUUGUUUACAGUCUUCCAGAGAAGGAUGAGAUUGGUAAAUAUAUAUCUUUUAGGACUAAAAGACUUAAGCGUCUCAAUUCUCAACCAAGUUUGUAGGAGUUUAUUGCUGGCCAAAACCCUCAUUGCAUAGUGAUGGAGUAUUGGUUUCGGUGGAAAUCUCUAUAUGGUGGCCAGAGUAGAUUCCUCCUUUGUUUUUGGACUCAAGAGACCUUCAUUAUUGUAAUCAUUGUAUAUAAUUCUUUUGUAUUUUAUUUGAGUGGAAUACGAAAUGAGAUGAUUUUUUGUAAUUUAA